Molecule: unclassified non-coding RNA, 294 nt
Filed under: uncultured fungus
Lineage: Eukaryota; Fungi
Description: sequence contains ITS1
Source: RNAcentral
AAGGACUACUAGGGUAUCUAAUCCUGUUUGAUCCCCACGCUUUCGUGCCUCAGUGUCAAUACAUCCAUAGUAAGCUGCCUUCGCAAUUGGUGUUCUAUGUCAUAUCUAAGCAUUUCACCGCUACAUGACAUAUUCCGCUUACCUCUAGAUGAUUCAAGAUCGAUAGUAUCAAUGGCAGUUUCCGAGUUAAGCUCGAAGAUUUCACCGCUGACUUACCGACCCACCUACGCACCCUUUAAACCCAGUAAAUCCGGAUAACGCUUGCACCCUCCGUAUUACCGCGGCGGCUGGCAC